GAUGAACGCUGGCGGCGUGCCUAAUACAUGCAAGUCGAGCGAACAGACGAGGAGCUUGCUCCUUCGACGUUAGCGGCGGACGGGUGAGUAACACGUAGGUAACCUACCUAUAAGACUGGGAUAACUUCGGGAAACCGGAGCUAAUACCGGAUAAUAUUUCGAACCGCAUGGUUCGAUAGUGAAAGAUGGCUUUGCUAUCACUUAUAGAUGGGCCUGCGCCGUAUUAGCUAGUUGGUAAGGUAACGGCUUACCAAGGCAACGAUACGUAGCCGACCUGAGAGGGUGAUCGGCCACACUGGAACUGAGACACGGUCCAGACUCCUACGGGAGGCAGCAGUAGGGAAUCUUCCGCAAUGGGCGAAAGCCUGACGGAGCAACGCCGCGUGAGUGAUGAAGGUCUUCGGAUCGUAAAACUCUGCUAUUAGGGAAGAACAAACGUGUAAGUAACUGUGCACGUCUUGACGGUACCUAAUCAGAAAGCCACGGCUAACUACGUG
Molecule: ribosomal RNA, 497 nt
Filed under: uncultured bacterium
Lineage: Bacteria
Description: partial 16S ribosomal RNA
Rfam family: Bacterial small subunit ribosomal RNA
Source: RNAcentral